CCCCCAGAGAGGAGAAAAGCGUGUCGAAAGGGGAACCCAAGUCCCGCACGCCGCACGCCGAACUCGUCGCCGGAAUCGUCGUUCCAGCAGCCCAGCCCGCCGACAGAGGGAGCGUAGGGAGUAGGCGACGAGGGAUCGUCGGAGAUGGUGCGGGUGCGUGGGCAGGCGAACGUGGCGGCGGCGGAGAACCGGGGCCGCUUCCUCCGCCUCGCCGAGCCGGGCAUCAACUUCUUCAACCGCCGCGCCGGCGAGCUCGUCGCCGGGACCCUCUCCAGUCUCCACCCGCGUCCAGUCGCUCGAGAUCAAGACCAAGGAUAAUGUCUUUGUUCAGCUGAUCUGUACAAUUCAAUACCGGGUUGUUAAGGAGAAUGCAGAUGAUGCAUUCUACAAGUUGCAGAAUCCCCCAACAGCAAAUUCAGUCCUACGUCUUUGAUGUGGUCUGAGCCAUAGUUCCAAGAAUGGAGCUGGACAGUCUUUUUGAGCAGAAAAUUUUGUUGCAAAGGCUGUACUUGAGGAGCUUGAAAAGAAUGCAGUCUAAAUGAGACUCAACCUCUUAAACCAGCUCAAGUGCUCUAUUCAACUCAAAACAAAGUACAAGAGACAUUUGGAGGUGGCUUUUAUGGACGCGUACUACCACAAUGUGCAUUUGGAGUACUUGUUGAAAGCCAAUUGAAUUUGGGUGCUUUUGUGAUGAUUCACCUCAUGUGUGUCCUAAAAGUAUUUGCAAAAAGAGAAGAGAACAAAGAUACUGUUUUUUUCCGGGUUGCUCUUUGCCUCGAGCGCAAUCUGGAUUGAAGCAGCUUGAAGCAUGUUUGAGUUUGAAGGAAGCUGAUAUCUGUCCUGCCAAGUGGUUCAGUACAGUAAAGAUGAGAAACCCAUGAGUUCUCCAUUGACACGGCUGCUGCAUUUGUGAUAAACUUUUAAAAGGUGGAAAAGCAAGCUGAAGGUAUGUGCACUCCUCAUGGCUGUUCUUGUCUCUUUUUUUUCUUAACGUUAUUGUCUCAAGUUGUUUGCCUGUUGGAUAGUGGAAUUUCACAAUUUAUGUCACAGUUAGAACACUUGGAGAGGGAUUUGUAACUGAAUGUUAGACUCAACAGUAGAUAAACGAGUUAACUGACCACUGCAGUAUCGAUUAUCAUGCAUGUUUUAUGAGCUUUUGAGAAGGGUGACAGAUAUCAUUUGUACGAUCCAAAGCUAAAUAAUUUUGUUCUCUUUGUCUAGCUUCGUACUUUGGUGAUGUACCUGCUUACAGCCAAGGACCUCUUCAGAGUAUUACCUAAGUAGACCAUGUUGAUGCACUUUGAGUGAAACAACGAGUCAUCAGAGUUAUGAUGUAAUUCUGUGAACACCCUUUUUAUGUGAGAAAUGCAUCGUCUCAAUUUUUAAGUUUAAACCUCAUAUGGGAGGAUAGUUGUGAUUCCAAAUGUUCUGAUUUUCGUCAUGAGAAAUGGCACGGGCUGAAUUUGGCCACUGUUUUGAGGAAGGAGGUCAACAGUGUUCCCAUAGUCUUUAUGAUUCAGCAUUAGCUUUACACCUUUGUCAUUUAACUGUCGAAGGUAAAACUAUGAUGGAAAUUAUUUCGAGUGUACUGGGUUUAUGUUUCUUUCCUUGCCAAGACACUGCAUAAGUGCGAUGACGUAUAUGAUCUGGAGAAAUGGUUCUGAUACUCCUAGAGAGGCUAUAGUGUAUUGUACUGUUUGUUCAAUAGAAAAUAUGGAUUCAUGUGUAGAUCAUUUGUUAGAUACUGGAUAUUUUCCAUUUUAGGGUCUUGUUUAAGUCUUAAGUUUUCAUCGAUCUGAAAUGGUAGAUUGGCUGGCAGUGGAACCCAUGGGAGUUUCCACCUUAUUUAGCUCUUUCUGUGUAUUGCGCUUGGUCCCCCAUCCUCCUGUUCUCACACCAUUUGUUUUUCUGCGGUUUGCUAAGAUACGUAAGGUUGCCGCUGAUCGAUUUGGCUUGGGGUGGGUGUCGGCUUGUACAAAUCUAUGUGCAUGCGUAAUUGCAGCCUACGCUGAUGACCGAUGCAAAUUUGAUGGAAGGUGGUGCUCUCUGGUGAUGAAGGAUUGCAUAUUCUUUUGGCUCCUGCGCCGAGGCUCAUCUCUGCUACGGAAGGAGGCUGCGAGAGGAUUGGGAAGCGUGGGAAACUGAAAACCGGUGCAUUAAACUGGCCUCGGAUGCAUAGUGUCUGAACCCCAGUCACUUUUGUUGAUCAUAUAGCGAAGAGACACCAACGGUGCAGGACAUGAAGAAGCAGGAGAGGAAGUCGCGCAGAAACAGUUACCGCAAGAAAAGCCUCUGUGAUGUUCUCCACGUAGCGAUGUUGGAUGUAACUGAGAAUUCUGUUUUGCUUGCUAGUUAGUGGGUGCGAGCUUCAGUUAUGUGUGGUUUGCAUAUUCAGUUGUUGAACCGAUCAAAAGAAAUAUCUCAGAAACAUUCAGCUGUUCUGCGUGGGCUGUGCCGCUGAGAUAUCUCCUUUUCAGUUUUGUUGAAUAGAUAUACGUAUGUCGUCGUACAUUUUAAUGAGCCAGUAAUACGAGCAGGAUAUGCUUGUUUUGGAAACAGAGCACCAUGUAUCCUCAACUGCACAUAUACCAUCAGGCAGACUGGAUGAGAUUCUUAGGAUGUUGAAUAUAGAUAAAGCCUUUGGUUGCAUGUGUUUUUUUUAAUCUAUUCUCUUUGUUUUUUUGA
Non-coding RNA from Triticum urartu, 2685 nucleotides. The record is from RefSeq and is a predicted model, not a curated record. Lineage: Eukaryota; Viridiplantae; Streptophyta; Magnoliopsida; Poales; Poaceae.